AUUUGGUCCUGCCAUGCGGGCAGGGGACUGUACUCGAUGACCUCUCGAGGUCCCUUCCAGUCCUAUAAUCUAUGAUUCUAUGAUUCUAUGAUACUGCCGAGCACUAAUCCGCUAAUCUUGGGUAACUAACCUGGGAUACUUAGGCCUAAUUUUCAAAAGAACUGGACAUUUACAGCACUCACUGGAAUUGUAGGUGUUCAGUGUUAACAACUCUCUCCAUUUUAUUGUGUCUUGCAGUACUGUGUGGAUUUUUUUUUUAAAUCCCCAACAGCUAGAAUCAGGCUAUUACCCAACAAAGUCAACUUUCAUUAAAGAAAUCAAGUUUCUAGCCCAUAAGGCAGUGGAGAAAAGUUUUAAAAUGUGAACCUUAAACCUUCCAAUACUAGAAAGCAAAUAAAAAUAACCCAUUUGUUAUUAUUUAAAUCUGAUGGUAUUUGGGGAUGUGAUUUAAGAUUUUUGAAUGCCUUGGGUUGAAAAUCCCAAAUGUCUCACUUUGGGGAUCCAAAAUUUGAGUUACCCAGAAUCAGUGGGCACUUCUGAAAAUGUGAGCCUUAAUCUUUGUGCCUCAUCUUACCAACUUGGAAAACAGAUAUUAUAAUAAUACCUAUCUCUUAAGGAUAUUGUGAGACUUAAUUAAUGUUUGUAAAGCACUUUAAGGUCCUCAGAUGGAAAGCAUAGAAGUGCAAAAUAUUAUUCCCAUAGUUGUAGCUAAUUAUUCUGGGGUGUUCCAGGUGCUUCUAGACAGCAUACAUUUGCUUCUCAGCUGUAUUAAAAGUUUACUUUUUUAACCAGUGUUGCACUAAAUUGCUCUGGGUGUGAAUCUUUACAACAGUUAUCACGUGAUCACGAAUAACAACAGAGCAGGGUCUGUUUAUUCUCCAGCCUCAAAACUCACACAAUCCUUUCAGAGGCUAUUGGUGAAUAGAAUACACACCACAUGGUGCCAGAAAGGACUCCUGUGGGAACCUUUUGAGAACAUAACAACUGUCUGAUUACCUUCCAUCCCAUAGUUUCACACUCUGCCUCUAACCUGUUGGACAGAAAUCAAGGCAAUGUAUCUCACUAGCCCACCAAAGUUGAACCUACUGAGAGCAUGAAGUGAAAAGCCUUAAACUGAGUUUGCAGUGGGAGAGCCCUUUAACCUUUUUCUUUUUCAUUUGCUGAUGCCAGGAAGUGAAGAAACUGUGAGACAGCCCUGUCUGAAUGGAGAUGCUUAUGAAAAACAAAACCAGUACUGGUUUUAAGGAUAAAAUUUACACACAGGUGUAUUGGCCAGGUUAACUGAAUAUGUAACCACUGCAAAAGAAGAGAUUAAGGGAGCCCAACAUCACACUAUGUCCCUCCACUCAGUGGUUAGAGCACUCCCCUGAGAGGCGUCGUUCAAACUCUUUCUCCCCCUCUGUCAAAGAGGUGGGAAUUGAACCUGUGUCUUCCACAUCCCAGAUGUGUAUCUCUCAGUUCAAAUCUUCAGACUUGCAGCGUCAAUUUACUUCGAGCCAUGCACAUAUGGAUCAAGAAUUCCCACAAGGUUCUGAAGUCCGCACUUUAAAACUGAAAACUUAGAAAAAACAAAUGGAUAUAGAAGCCCAGUUCUUCACCGGAUUUGCCAACCGAUCACAAACUGUAACGUUAGUCUCCUAUUAUGUGGCCUGGCACAUAGCCCAUGCAAAAAAGCCCUACUCUGAAGGCGAGUUUGUAAAAACAUACUUCACUGAUGUGAUUUCAGUCCUGUCACCAGAGAAUGAUAACCUACAGAAGAAAAUUUCUGGUCUGCAGCUUUCACCCCACACAGUUGAACGCAGAAUCUCCGACCUGAACAGUGACAUCGAAUCUCAACUGCACUUGCAACUUCAGCAGUGUGAGUAUUUGAGCAUCGCUUUGGAUGAGUUGUGCGAUGCAUAGGCUAAACCUCAAUUAUUGGUAUUUUUGUCCACACUGUGUCUGAUGACUGUGUUGUAAGGGAAGAACUUCUCAAUAUUGUGUCACUAAGGGACAGAACUGGUGGACGAGAUCUAAAGGAGGUGUUGAUGUUGGUAGUUGCGAAAAGCCACUUGCCUUUACCUAAGCUCACUGCCAUUGCAAUGGAUGGGGCUCUGUUAAUGUGGGGAUCUGCAAAUGGAUUAGUAGGGCUUUGUAAGUCUGAUGAAAGCUUUCCCAAAUUUUGGACAUUUCACUGUAUUAUUCAUUGGGAGCAACUGGUAUCUAAGAAUCUCAAAUUUGAUCACGUCAUGAAACUUUUCUUGCACAUCAUGAAUUUCAUUUGCUCAAAUGCACUCAAUCACAGACAAUUUCAAAAUCUAACUAAAGAACUGGAUGAAGACGACUCCCUUGCCGAUUUGCUAUUUCACUGCGCAGAUCGAUGGUUCUCGAGAGGUAAAGUUAUUUCCUGUUUUUUCGAGCUCCUCGAACCAGUAAAAUUGUUUAUGGAGGAGAAACACAGAAUACACCUCAUGCUUACAGAUCCUGGGUGGGUUCUAGAUUUGGCAUUUCUUGCAGACAUGCUGCUGCAUUUGGAUAAACCAAAUGUGGACUUACAAGGAAAAUUCUGGAUGCUGUCUGAUCUAGUGCAAAGCGUAUUUGCAUUCAUGAACAAACUGCAGUUGUUUCUCAGACAAAUAGUUGAGGGAGAGCUGACACACUUUCCCUCAAUGUCACAACUUCAAGCCAGAUCAAAAGAGAAAGGAGCAGAACCCCUAAGAUGGAGCAGAACUAGAUAUGUGAGCAUGAUUAAAGAUCUUAGGGACAGUUUUGAGGAAAGAUUCCAAGAUUUGCAGCAGAAAAGACCUCAUAUCAGAUUUCUGAUUGACCCUUUUAGUGCUGAAGCCAACUGUCUGAAGCUCACUGCCUUUAGUCACUGACGAAGCAACAUCCAAAAUGGAAAUAAUAGAACUUUUGGAAGAUGACAGAUUGAAAUCUGUUCAGAAGACAGAGGGGACCCUUACUUUCGGGAAAUCUGUACCAAAGGAUAAAUACCCCAACAUCAGAGGUGCAGCCCUAAAAUUAAUCUCUAUGUUUGCUUCAUCCUGUCUUUGUGAGUCUGUUUUCUCAACACUCAAACAUGUGAAAUCCAAGCACUGAUCCAUUUUGACAGACAGCCACUUAAGAGAAUUGCUGCAUGUGAGCACAACUGAACAAAAAACAAAUUUCAAGGGAAUUGUUGAAAGCAAGGAUUGCCAGAAGUCCCACUAAGUAAAAGGGAAGAAUAUUAUUCCUGGUCAAUAAUAAGUAAUACUGCAGAAAUCUGAGCUGAGUCUGAUGGCACCCUGCAACAUAUAUAUGAUUAUGCAGCCUGUGUGAUAUUUUGGGAAGUAGACCUGCACAAUGUGGCAUCCUGCUGGUUACUGCUACAACACCAGCCUUCUCACCACCUUCUCUCUGUCAAGUUUUCUCCUCCCAAACUGACUCAGAAGGUGUGCUCACACACAGGGCCAAUUCUUCAGAGAGCCUUCAACCCAGCCUCCAUUUGGGAGCAAUGUGCUAUGCAAUUUGAACACCAUUAUUUGUGCAUUCCAUUGUUUGCAUAGCUGUGUAUGCAAAAGCAGAAAGCAUUUUUUGAAGAUUUCACCCACAAGAUUCCUGAUACAGGGAAUACAUGGCUUAAAAGUCACCAAACAUCCCAUUCCACAUAUUAGCUGCCUCCAAAUGGAAACAGCCAGAAACACUGGGUACCGAAAUACUGAAAGGCCAAGUUUUGGCCUUGGAAACAUUGAUGAAAAAUAAAAAAGGAAAAUACUAGGUAAUCUGGCUUCAUUUGUCAGGUUUAUAGAAGAGGAGUUACCAGUGACCAGAACACCAAAAUAUUUGAACACUUAUUUGUUGCAAAUGAUUUAUUCAAUGAAUUCAGCCCUUUUAUUAUAUGUGAACUAUCUGUGUAAUAGCAAACCCUGGAUCCUGCCCCGCCCCCAGCCUGUGCAGGGCCCUGCAACAAAAGAGAUCAAAUUAAUGCCUGCCCAGACAACACAUUUGAAUCAAGAAUAUUUGGAACUCCAAAAAGUGUUUGAAUAGUUUUCCCUCCAACACACUACUCAUCCAGCAAGCCAAGUUAUGGAAAUAUGCUGAAUAGCUCAAAACCAAAUUAACAUAAUUCCAGAGACCC
Non-coding RNA from Chrysemys picta bellii (western painted turtle), 4096 nucleotides. NCBI's taxonomy places the organism in Eukaryota, Metazoa, Chordata, Testudines, Emydidae. The record is from RefSeq and is a predicted model, not a curated record.